RNAcentral lists this ribosomal RNA (1055 nucleotides) under Salmonella enterica subsp. enterica serovar Monschaui. RNAcentral describes it as "partial 23S ribosomal RNA". It matches the Rfam family "Bacterial large subunit ribosomal RNA", at positions 197 to 1190 of the family's 2925-position model. The record is from RNAcentral. RNAcentral also lists the same sequence under 1 other name. Lineage: Bacteria; Pseudomonadati; Pseudomonadota; Gammaproteobacteria; Enterobacterales; Enterobacteriaceae.
AACAUCUAAGUACCCCGAGGAAAAGAAAUCAACCGAGAUUCCCCCAGUAGCGGCGAGCGAACGGGGAGGAGCCCAGAGCCUGAAUCAGCAUGUGUGUUAGUGGAAGCGUCUGGAAAGGCGCGCGAUACAGGGUGACAGCCCCGUACACAAAAGCGCAUGUGCUGUGAGCUCGAUGAGUAGGGCGGGACACGUGGUAUCCUGUCUGAAUAUGGGGGGACCAUCCUCCAAGGCUAAAUACUCCUGACUGACCGAUAGUGAACCAGUACCGUGAGGGAAAGGCGAAAAGAACCCCGGCGAGGGGAGUGAAAAAGAACCUGAAACCGUGUACGUACAAGCAGUGGGAGCCCCACCACCAAAGCAUUCUCUGGUGUUGAAGGCCCUGCAAAGCAGCAUCGCGGUGGCGGAGCGUCGUUUGCGACGCCCAACACACAAAACAAGCGGUGAGUGCUUUGGGGUGGGGUGACUGCGUACCUUUUGUAUAAUGGGUCAGCGACUUAUAUUUUGUAGCAAGGUUAACCGAAUAGGGGAGCCGGAGGGAAACCGAGUCUUAACCGGGCGUUAAGUUGCAGGGUAUAGACCCGAAACCCGGUGAUCUAGCCAUGGGCAGGUUGAAGGUUGGGUAACACUAACUGGAGGACCGAACCGACUAAUGUUGAAAAAUUAGCGGAUGACCUGUGGCUGGGGGUGAAAGGCCAAUCAAACCGGGAGAUAGCUGGUUCUCCCCGAAAGCUAUUUAGGUAGCGCCUCGUGAAUUCAUCUCCGGGGGUAGAGCACUGUUUCGGCUAGGGGGCCAUCCCGGCUUACCAACCCGAUGCAAACUGCGAAUACCGGAGAAUGUUAUCACGGGAGACACACGGCGGGUGCUAACGUCCGUCGUGAAGAGGGAAACAACCCAGACCGCCAGCUAAGGUCCCAAAGUCAUGGUUAAGUGGGAAACGAUGUGGGAAGGCCCAGACAGCCAGGAUGUUGGCUUAGAAGCAGCCAUCAUUUAAAGAAAGCGUAAUAGCUCACUGGUCGAGUCGGCCUGCGCGGAAGAUGUAACGGGGCUAAACCAU